Molecule: ribosomal RNA, 339 nt
Filed under: uncultured bacterium
Lineage: Bacteria
Description: bacterial SSU rRNA
Rfam family: Bacterial small subunit ribosomal RNA
Source: RNAcentral
AUUGAACGCUGGCGGCAGGCCUAACACAUGCAAGUCGAGCGGAUGAGUGGAGCUUGCUCCAUGAUUCAGCGGCGGACGGGUGAGUAAUGCCUAGGAAUCUGCCCUGGUAGUGGGGGACAACGUUUCGAAAGGACGCUAAUACCGCAUACGUCCUACGGGAGAAAGCAGGGGACCUUCGGGCCUUGCGUUAUCAGAUGAGCCUAGGUCGGAUUAGCUAGUAGGUGAGGUAAUGGCUCACCUAGGCGACGAUCCGUAACUGGUCUGAGAGGAUGAUCAGUCACACUGGAACUGAGACACGGUCCAGACUCCUACGGGAGGCAGCAGUGGGGAAUAUUGGAC